CGGGGCGUAGCUUAGCCCGGUAGAGCGCCUGCUUCGGGAGCAGGAGGUCGCUGGUUCAAAUCCAGUCGCCCCGA
Molecule: transfer RNA, 74 nt
Organism: Gemmatimonas aurantiaca T-27
Lineage: Bacteria; Pseudomonadati; Gemmatimonadota; Gemmatimonadia; Gemmatimonadales; Gemmatimonadaceae
Rfam family: tRNA
About the family: Transfer RNA (tRNA) molecules are approximately 80 nucleotides in length. Their secondary structure includes four short double-helical elements and three loops (D, anti-codon, and T loops).
Source: Rfam